UGGGGAAUCUUGCGCAAUGGGCGAAAGCCUGACCCAGCAACGCCGCGUGAAGGAUGAAGUAUUUCGGUAUGUAAACUUCGAAAGAAUAGGAAGAAUAAAUGACGGUACUAUUUAUAAGGUCCGGCUAACUACGUGCCAGCAGCCGCGGUAAUACGUAGGGACCAAGCGUUGUUCGGAUUUACUGGGCGUAAAGGGCGCGUAGGCGGCAUGACAAGUCACUUGUGAAAUCUCUGGGCUUAACCCAGAACGGCCAAGUGAUACUGUCGCGCUAGAGUGCAGAAGGGGCAAUCGGAAUUCUUGGUGUAGCGGUGAAAUGCGUAGAUAUCAAGAGGAACACCUGAGGUGAAGACGGGUUGCUGGGCUGACACUGACGCUGAGGCGCGAAAGUCAGGGGAGCAAACGGGAUUAGAUACCCUGGUAGUCCCUGAGCGGGCUGGCAAGGCGCAU
RNAcentral lists this ribosomal RNA (447 nucleotides) under uncultured bacterium. RNAcentral describes it as "bacterial SSU rRNA". It matches the Rfam family "Bacterial small subunit ribosomal RNA", at positions 355 to 825 of the family's 1533-position model. The record is from RNAcentral.